This 424-nucleotide ribosomal RNA is filed under the name uncultured bacterium. Its description in RNAcentral is "bacterial SSU rRNA". It matches the Rfam family "Bacterial small subunit ribosomal RNA", at positions 355 to 776 of the family's 1533-position model. The record is from RNAcentral.
UGAGGAAUAUUGGUCAAUGGGAGAGAUCCUGAACCAGCCAAGCCGCGUGAGGGAAGACGGCCCUAUGGGUUGUAAACUUCUUUUAUAUGGGAAUAAAGUUUUCCACGUGUGGAAUUUUGUAUGUACCUUAUGAAUAAGGAUCGGCUAACUCCGUGCCAGCAGCCGCGGUAAUACGGAGGAUCCGAGCGUUAUCCGGAUUUAUUGGGUUUAAAGGGAGCGUAGGCGGGUUGUUAAGUCAGUUGUGAAAGUUUGCGGCUCAACCGUAAAAUUGCAGUUGAUACUGGCAUCCUUGAGUACAGUAGAGGUAGGCGGAAUUCGUGGUGUAGCGGUGAAAUGCUUAGAUAUCACGAAGAACUCCGAUUGCGAAGGCAGCCUGCUGGACUGUAACUGACGCUGAUGCUCGAAAGUGUGGGUAUCAAACAGG